This 393-nucleotide ribosomal RNA is filed under the name uncultured bacterium. Its description in RNAcentral is "partial 16S ribosomal RNA". It matches the Rfam family "Bacterial small subunit ribosomal RNA", at positions 523 to 918 of the family's 1533-position model. The record is from RNAcentral.
AUACGUAGGGGGCGAGCGUUGUCCGGAAUGAUUGGGUUUAAAGGGUGCGUAGGCUGUUCGGAAAGUCAGGGGUGAAAGCCCGGGGCCUAACGCCGGAACUGCCUUUGAUACUUCCGAGCUGGAAUACGGAUGCCGUGGGAGGAAUGAGUAGUGUAACGGUGAAAUGCAUAGAUAUUACUCAGAACACCGAUUGCGAAGGCAUCUCACGAAUCCGUCAUUGACGCUGAGGCACGAAAGCGUGGGGAUCAAACAGGAUUAGAUACCCUGGUAGUCCACGCAGUAAACGAUGAUGACUAACCGUCGGCGAUACACAGUCGGUGGCCAAGCGAAAGCGAUAAGUCAUCCACCUGGGGAGUACGUUCGCAAGAAUGAAACUCAAAGGAAUUGACGGGG